This 493-nucleotide ribosomal RNA is filed under the name uncultured bacterium. RNAcentral describes it as "partial 16S ribosomal RNA". It matches the Rfam family "Bacterial small subunit ribosomal RNA", at positions 30 to 523 of the family's 1533-position model. The record is from RNAcentral.
AUUGAACGCUGGCGGCAUGCUUUACACAUGCAAGUCGAACGGUAACAGGUUAAGCUGACGAGUGGCGAACGGGUGAGUAAUGCAUCGGAACGUGCCCGAUCGUGGGGGAUAACGCAGCGAAAGCUGCGCUUAUACCGCAUACGAUCUGAGGAUGAAAGCGGGGGACCGUAAGGCCUCGCGCGAUCGGAGCGGCCGAUGUCAGAUUAGGUAGUUGGUGGGGUAAAGGCUCACCAAGCCAACGACCUGUAGCUGGUCUGAGAGGACGACCAGCCACAAUGGGAAUGAGACACGGCCCAGACUCCUACUGGAGGCAGCAGUGGGGAAUUUUGGACAAUGGGCGAAAGCCUGAUCCAGCAAUGCCGCGUGCAGGAAGAAGGCCUUCGGGUUGUAAACUGCUUUUGUACGGAGCGAAAAGGUCCCCUCUAAUACAGGGGGCUCAUGACGGUACCGUAAGAAUAAGCACCGGCUAACUACGUGCCAGCAGCCGCAGUAA